UUACGGCCACAUCAUGUUGAAACACAGGUUCCCAUACAAUCAUCAAAGUUAAGCAAUGUUGAGUCUGGUCAGUACCUAGAUGGGUGACCACUUGGGAAUACUCAUGUUG
RNAcentral lists this ribosomal RNA (109 nucleotides) under Acanthosepion pharaonis. Lineage: Eukaryota; Metazoa; Mollusca; Cephalopoda; Sepiida; Sepiidae. The record is from RNAcentral.